CCUACGGGAGGCUGCAGUGAGGAAUAUUGGUCAAUGGACGAGAGUCUGAACCAGCCAAGUAGCGUGAAGGAUGACUGCCCUAUGGGUUGUAAACUUCUUUUAUAAAGGAAUAAAACGAGGCACGUGUGCCUUUUUGCAUGUACUUUAUGAAUAAGGAUCGGCUAACUCCGUGCCAGCAGCCGCGGUAAUACGGAAGAUCCGAGCGUUAUCCGGAUUUAGUGGGUUUAAAGGGAGCGUAGAUGGGUUGUUAAGUUAGUUGUGAAAGUUUGCGGCUCAACCGUAAAAUUGCAAUUGAUACUGGCAGUCUUGAGUACAGUUGAGGUAGGCGGAAUUCGUGGUGUAGCGGUGAAAUGCUUAGAUAUCACGAAGAACCCCGAUUGCGAAGGCAGCUUACUAAACUGUGACUGACAUUGAUGCUCGAAAGUGUGGGUAUCAAACAGGAUUAGAUACCCCAGUAGUC
Molecule: ribosomal RNA, 460 nt
Filed under: uncultured bacterium
Lineage: Bacteria
Description: partial 16S ribosomal RNA
Rfam family: Bacterial small subunit ribosomal RNA
Source: RNAcentral